Diospyros lotus (date-plum) is the source of this 2623-nucleotide RNA transcript. It is a transcript of the gene named protein EMSY-LIKE 3-like, with no coding region annotated. The transcript has 8 exons. Lineage: Eukaryota; Viridiplantae; Streptophyta; Magnoliopsida; Ericales; Ebenaceae. The record is from RefSeq and is a predicted model, not a curated record.
AGGGCGGAUUUCAAACACAACUAUCAACCCAGAAAAUCAAACCACUCUAUAAUACAGUUUCAAGUCCGCGUUUCUCAGCUGAGGUUUUCCUUCUUCUCCGUCCCUCAAUUGAUCUCUAUCUCUCUCUCGCUCUACGAGAUUCCUAUCACUUUGCACUCGAACUCCACUCAAGUUUGAGUUUCUCUGAUCAAUUCUCAGUUUGGGAGUUUGCCUCGAGAUCUCGGGUUGAUAGUUCGUGCAAUUGAGGGAGAGUUGGUGGGCUAAGAAAGCUGGCUAUGGACUACGAACCAUACGACAGCAGUGGGACUGAUGAUGAUCUUCCACCACCACAUCAGAAUAGAUUUCCAAGAGGGGGCCGUGUUGCAGGAAAUGGAAGAUCUGCUGUAAUGAGUUCUGUCCCAUACCCUAGGAUGUAUAGUGAAACUGACAUGGAGACACAAAUUCACCAACUCGAGCAAGAAGCAUACAGUUCAGUUCUAAGAGCCUUUAAAGCUCAAGCUGAUGCCAUUACUUGGGAGAAGGAAAGUUUAAUCACUGAGCUCAGGAAAGAGUUGAGAUUAUCAAAUGAAGAACACAGAGAGCUUCUUGGCAGGGUUAAUGCAGAUGAUGUCAUUAGGAGGAUAAGGGAGUGGAGACAGGCAGGUGGGCUUCAAGCCGGUAUGCUUAGCACUGGCCAAGCUGUUCAUGAUCCAGUGCCCAGCCCCACUGUAUCAGCAUCACGCAAGAAACAGAAGUUAACUCAGUCUGUACCCUCUCAAUCCUUUGGUGGACCAUCUGCUUCUUUCCACCCACAAGGAGUUGCUGCUUCCACACAGCCAUCUUCUUCAGCUGCAAAACGAGGUCCUGCUAUGGGAGCCAAGGGCAAGAAGCAAAAAUCUGGUCAGAUAUUGGCUGGUGCACCUUCAAUGAAAAUGCAGUACCCUUCCUCAGGUCCCACUGGAAGGGGUCCAAUUGGUAAUCGUGUUUCUUCUGCUGCCCAUCCAGGUGAACCUACUGAAGGAGCACCGUUUGAUUCCUUGAUUGGGAGGAAGGUUAGAACCAGGUGGCCUGAUGACAAUAAUUUUUAUGAAGCUGUUAUUACUGACUACAAUCAACCGGAGGGUCGCCAUGCUCUAGUUUAUGAUAUUGGUACGGCAAAUGAGACAUGGGAGUGGGUGAAUCUUUCCGAGGGAAUGGAAUUUCGGGAAUUGCUGCUGAAGACUAUAUUAUUUGGUAAUUGUUCUUGGAUGCUAAUGAUGAUGUGGAGGUUAAAGGUUAUAUUAUAGGUGGUCUAUCAUACUGAAGUUGGAAGAUGACAUAGUUGUCAAAGAGGGGCAUUGUGAGGACCCUAACAUGCUCAUGGUCAAGCACCUUCCACCAUGCAGCAUGGUGGCAUGAGAAAGGCAUGCCAGGUGUCUUAAGCGUUGUGGCAGCCUGAUGGGAGCUGACACUCUUUUAAGUCAAGUUGCAAUGUGUGUGUAGCCUCGGGUAAAGAAUCAGUGAUGGUGCACUUGUGCACUGGCACGGGGUUGCUGUGCCUUGGUGCCAGCAGAGUUGACAUGUACGCAGCAGGGAACACGAUUAUAUUGCCAGGCAAGGCAGCUUGCCACACAUGCGUAUAGGAACAUGUGACAUGGUUGGCACAUGCAGAAGGCAGCACUGUGGCGCGUGUGGGAAGAACAAUCCAAGAAAUGCGACUGUGCAUGGGACCUGCAGUUGUGAAGGCAACAGUUGGGCAGCCAUGCCAGGCACGUGUGAGGGGUAUUACUGGCCCAAGCUGUUGAGCAAUCGAGGCAUGUGUGUGCCAGUUAUAAAUCACGUCUUCCAUGCAUGCACCAGUUGUAGCCUCGUCUGCCAGCCAUGUAGCAAAUUCCAAUGAUUCUGUGUGUGUCUGCAGCAUAUGUUGCAUGUCUUUUGCCUGAUCCAUUCUCUUGUCCUGAUAUACCCUAGGCGGUUAGGUGUGUUGUAACACUCAGAAUUUUUGGAAAGAAAGUAAUAUAAAUAAAUAGAGGGAAAUUAUAUAUGAUAACUGACCUGCAAUUCAGUUAGAGAAUUAUAUGAUAUGGAUCACUAUAGUUUGGAAGGACUAGGGUUAAGCUCAGAAUUUGAUUUAGAUAAAUAUUUGAUUAUGGAGACUAAAUUAACCUUUGAUUUCUAGAUAAUGAUAAACCUUGGAGAAUUCUUGGAAGACUUGGAGUUGCAAUCAACUGCAUGUUAGAGAACAUAAAUCAAAAGGAAGAUAUACACUGUCUAGAGAAUUUGAUGAGGAUUAGGAUUAUUAGAAUUGGAAACAGAAGAAUCCAAAAUCAAUAUUGGAUUGGAUAAACCCUGGGAAGGCUAUAAAAGGGUCGAGCCUAUAGAGUCUAAGGCAUCACAAAUCAUAUAGCAAAUUGAGCGAGAUUGUGCUGUGAGCAAUCUAAGUGAAGAGGCUGUCUUGAGGAAAUGAAGGAGAGAAGCAGCAGUGUCCGUAUCAGAUUGUCGAUGAUAGAUCCGAGAUUUCUCCUGAAGAUAUUCAAUGGGAGGGUGAAGACCCUGGAAUUUCUCGUCAGGGAGCUUAUGGUCGAUCAGGACAUGUAUUGGGUAGAUCUGUUGGACGUGAUAGUGGUCCUACAGGUGGAAAAGGUAGGGGAGUGAUGAGGGGUCA